GCUCAACUCGAAAUCAGCAUAACACAACUCAGGGGAUACCAACUGUAAUACCCCACUGGUCGCACAGAAUGGAUAAUACCAUAAACCUCAUCCACUAAACUUACUCAACACUAGAGAUGUAAUAAAGAAAGAAUAUAAAGAAAGAAAAAAAUCCGGCAGCACCUCCUUUGAAAACUAGCAUAACAAGGAGGGGAAACAUGAAGCUCAUACAAGGUAUAAAGACAUAUAAUUCACAUAGUAGAACUGUAAUGCAAAAGUGGUAAACCCUAAUUAUGACCCAACUGAAGUAAAACAAAUGGGAUAAGAAACUCAGCCCACCCCAAAAUAAACGCUCAACCAAGAACAAAGCGAUUCACUAGACUUGUCCAACUCUGAUUAUCAACAUUAUUAAAUGGUGGUUCCUUCAUUAAAGGUGUAGUGGCCGUGCUGCUACAUCCCCUUUAUUCCCCAAAGCAGAAAUUAGGUGCCUGCAUCAAACAAUGCAAGAUGUGAGAUAACACAUCUCAGCAAGUAAACAUAACAACAACAAGUAGGCCAUUGUAAAUCAACUGUGCUUACACAACCACGUGUUCAGGACUUCUUUCUUUUCUUUUGAACAGUAAAUUGCAGCAAGUAUACAAGUAACUAAAAACUCAACGCCAAGAGGAAUCACCAUGCACAAGUCCAAAUUAUCCACAUCCACAUAAUAGAUUCAACACCUCUCCCAUGAAUGCACAUGGCUACAAAUGCAAUAAUGACUUCUGCCUCCAUAUCUCUAAGGAUAUGAAGCUGCACCAUACCCCUUCUCGGGCAACAUAUGAUGCUCAAUGUACCGGUACGGUCGGACCAUAAGAUCGCGACGAAACUUCAAUCCAAUGGAUGAUGAGUGCAUUAUGCAUGACAACAUCAUAAGUUCUUCCCAAAUAAAAAUGUGCUAGGCAUUUACUUCCAACCAUUCCACAUAAUAACCACUUGAGUAACAUAAUCAAACCUCAAACUCAACAUAUGAAAUCCAUGAAACAUGAACAUUUUCAAAUGAUGGUACUCAAAAGAAAAAUAUGAAUUUGAACAUGAUAGCACAACAUAAACAAGUUUUACUUGCCUUCACCGAAGUUUGGGCAAAAUCCCUAAGAACGAUCCGGAAGUCCACCACCUGUUUUUGACACCCAACUUAGUGCACCAAAUUCACAUAAAAAACUCAAAGACAACAUCGCACCUACGAGCAGUCUCAACCCCGCCGCGGUAACAAUUCUCCCCUCACUAACCAAACUGCAGCGACGCUGCUUAACAAUUCCAUAACUUAAAAAUUAGGACAGCAGUGGUGUCAAACAAAAACUUCAGAGACAACUACAUAAAAUUUCCCACAAGUUUUGUAUACAACUCAUGAUUAAAUUCUAACAUCUAAUUACCUCUAAACGGUCCACAAAAUAAACCCUGCAAUCUGUUUUUUUCUGAUUUGGGCAGCGACAUACUCGGAUUCAAACAGCGAUAACUUUUAAAAUAUAAUUCCGAUUUGAGCGCAUAAGUACUUAUUGGAAAGAUAAGAAAAAGACCUACAUGAUUCUCAUACUGAUUAAUACUAAUUACUCCCGAAAAAUCCCCAGAAACUGCUAAUACUUUUGCUGUUCAUCACUCUGAAAAUUCUGUUUUUUUUGGACAGCCACAAACCCGGAUUCAAACGAUGAUAACUUUUAAUUUAUAACUCCAAAUUGAGCGCAUAAAUACUCGUUGGAAAGGUAAAACAAAGUUCUACAAGAUCCCCAAAUUGAUCCCCAUUAAUUCUUCACGAAAAACCCUAAAAACUGCUAGAACUUCCGCUGUUCAUCCACCACGUAAAAUUCUGGACAGCCCCCCUCUAUCUAAUCACAAACGCAACGUCUAAACAAUUGAAUCGCAGCGCAAAUGAACAAGGGAUGAACACAAAAAUCACCUUGGGUUCUCCCCCUUUCUUUCCUCCCUUCUUCCCUCCACCAAAACGGUUGGAGAAUCGCACCACGAGACGACGAUCCGAGCGGCAAGGAUUGGCACCUUGGGAGAAGGGGAUUGGGGGGGGGGCGGCUAGGGUUUGGUGGCUGCAAAAAUUGAGAGAGAAGGAGAUGGGCAGGGGGGUGGCGGCCAAGGGGAGGAGGAGAAGUGGGGGGGGGGCGGCUGCACAUGGGGGGAGGGGGUUAGGAGGGAGGCGGCUAGGGUUUGGGAGGGUUAAUGGGCCGAAACACCUGUUGCGGCCCAACUAACCCACGCGACAGCUCCCGACCGCAACGCUAGCGUCAAACCAAAUAAAUUCUACGACCCUAGUUGUGAAUGUUUUCCACAAAAUUCCAAAUCCCCAAAACAACAACCGGAUGAGGAAAAAAAAACAAAAAGAACAACCCCCAACUUCUCUUCUUUGCAAACCGGGUAUCACACUCUACCCCUCUUAAAAAGAAUUCGACCUCGAAUUCUGACGCUUCUAUCGGAAUGACAAAAGAAAAGAUUAGUUAAUCAACAACACUUACCCACAACGAAAAGUUCCGGGUACUUCUGCCGCAUCAGCUCCUCAAGUUCCCACGUAGCCUCACGCUCAGACUGAUCAGUCCAUAAGACCUUGACAUACUUAAUUGAUCUCUUCCUCAACACACGCUCCGAGGAUUCCAAUAUACGCACCGGACGACACUCCAGAGUCAGAUCCUGCUGUACCGCAAUUGGUUCCAUCUCAAUCUGAUGGUCCGGAUCCCGCAAGAAUUUCCUCAACAUAGAGACAUGAAAAACCGGGUGUACCCCUGCCAUGGAAUCCGGCAGCAGCAAGCGAUAAGCCAGGCUGCCCACUCGGCCCAAGAUAGUGAACGGUCCAAUGUAUCUCGGGCUGAGCUUCCCAGAGACACCGAACCGAACAACUCCCUUAGUGGGUGAUACCCUGAGAAGGACUUGGUCACCCACAGCAAAUUCCAGAUCCCGCCUCCUCACAUCAGCAUAACUCUUCUGACGACUCUGAGCUGCCAAAAUAUUCUGACGAAUUUCCCGAACCUUUUCAGAAGUUUGCUGAACCCAAUCAGGACCAACCAGGGAUCUCUCUCCCAAAGUCUCCCAGCACAGAGGAGAGAUACACCGCCUGCCAUACAAAGCCUCAAAUGGUGCCAUCUUGAUGCUAGCUUGGUAGCUGUUGUUAUACGCAAACUCUGCCAGAGCAAGAUGAUCCUCCCAGCUACCCUUCCAUGACAGAACACAAGCACGCAACAUAUCCUCCAUGGUUUGGAUUGUUCGCUCUGACUGACCAUCCGUCUGAGGAUGAAAAGCGACACUAAGCGAAAGCUUGGUGCCCAAUGCACUAUGGAGACUCUCCCAGAAUUUGGAUACAAAUUUGGAGUCUCGAUCAGAAACAAUAGACUUAGGUACCCCGUGAAGCCUGACAACUUCCUUCAUAUACAAGGGAACCAAAUCUGAAGCUGAAUUUGUGGUCUUCAUGGGAAUAAAAUGUGCAUACUUAGUCAAGCGAUCCACUACCACCCAAAUAGCAUCCCUGCCACGAGGGGAACGAGGUAGACCCACCACAAAAUCCAUGGUGAUAUGCUCCCAUUUCCACUCUGGAAUUUCCAAUGGCUUCAGCAAACCUGCAGGCCGCUUAUGUUCGGCCUUCACGCGCUGACAUACUUCACAGGCGGCCACAUACUUAGAAAUGUCAACCUUCAUCCGCUUCCACCAGAAGUUUUGCUUCAAAUCUCGGUACAUUUUGGUUUCGCCAGGAUGGACGGUGUAAGGCAUUUUAUGAGCUUCUCGCAGGAUAUCCAGCUUCACCUCUGAUUUCUGAGGCACACAAAGACGGCCCCUGAAACGAACCAAACCAUUCUCAUCAAUGGUGAACUCCCGCGGUUUACCAUCACCAACCCUCUUUCGAGCUUCCUGCAAAAGACGAUCCUGCAGCUGAGCCGCACGCACUCUCUCCAUAAGAGAGGAUUGAAUAAGCAUCUGCGUCUCCUCGCUAGCGGUGCCGACAUAACACAAAGCGAUCCCCAAACGGUCCAGAUCAGCGACCAACGGCAAGGCCACCUUUGGAACCCCAGACCUGCUAAGGGCAUCCGCCACCACAUUAGCCUUCCCCGGGUGAUAAUGAAUGGACAAAUCAUAGUCUUUAAUCAAUUCUAGCCACCGACGUUGCCUCAAAUUCAGCUCCUUCUGAGUAAAAAUAUACUUGAGACUUUUGUGAUCGGUGAAAAUGUCACAAGCCUCGCCAUAAAGGUAAUGCCUCCACGACUUUAGAGCAAAAACCACCGCAGCCAAUUCCAGAUCAUGAGUUGGAUAAUUCCCCUCAUGCUUCCUCAACUGCCUUGAACCAUAAGCAAUCACUCUGCCUUCCUGCAUCAGCACACAGCCAAGACCGAUACGCGAAGCAUCCGUAUAAACUGUGAAACGCUUACCGCUCUCAGGCAAAGCUAGGAUAGGGGCGUCCACCAACUUGCUCUUCAAUGACUGAUAACUGACCUCACAUUCGCCGGACCAGACGAAGGGAACACCCUUCUCCAAGAGCCUAGUCAAAGGCUUAGCAAUGCUGGAAAAAUUUGGUAUGAAGCGCCGAUAAUACCCAGCAAGCCCCAAGAAACUUCGGAUUUCAGAGACACUAGAAGGUCUCUUCCACUCCACCACAGCCGCAACAUUCUUGGGAUCAACCGCAAUACCCUGCUGAUUAAUCACGUGCCCCAGGAAAGCCCCUUCGGAAAGCCAAAAGGCACACUUCUUCAACUUGCCAUAGAAUUGAUUCUUUCUUAGGGCACCCAGAACGAGACGGAGAUGCUGUUCAUGCUCGGCCUCGGUCUUUGAAUAAAUCAAAAUAUCGUCCAGGAAUACGACCACAAAAUCGUCCAGGAAUUCAUGCAGCAUCCUAUUCAUUGCUUCCAUAAAGGCAGCAGGGGCAUUAGUUAAGCCAAAAGACAUGACUAUGAACUCAUAAUGCCCAUACCUGGUGCAGAAGGCAGUCUUCUCAAUAUCCUCCUCACGAAUCCUCAAUUGAUGAUAACUCGAGUUCAAAUCAAUUUUGGAGAACACCUGGGCACCCCUCAACUGUUCAAAGAGGACCACAAUUCGGGGAAGCAGAUAUUUAUUCUUGAUUGUCACUUGAUUCAAAGCGCGAUAAUCCACACACAGCCGCUUGCUUUUAUCCUUCUUCUCAACAAACAAUACUGGGGAAGCCCAUGGAGACCUGCUAGGCCUAAUGAAGCCCUUAGCCAGCAGAUCAUCCAAUUGCCGCUUUAAUUCAAUCUGCUCCUUUGGAGCCAUUCGAUACGGGGCCUUAUGAAUAGGCUGCGUACCCGGGAUCAGCUUAAUCUCAAAAUCUGCAUCGCGCUUCGGAGGAAUGCCUGGAAGCUCUGCCAGAAACACGUCAGCAAAGUCACACACCACCCGGAUGUCCUGCACCCGCAAGGCAGCCUCACCCUCCACCACCAUAGAGAAAAAGAUCCCCGACUUCCUUGACCGGCGAUCAGGAAGCAAUUGCGCCAACAAGGAUAAUGUGAACUUCGGGGAACUUCCCAAGAAUACCACCUCCUUACCCGACGGCGCCUGCAAUAACACUGUCUUCCAGAAGCAGGAUAUAACUGCGCGAUACUGGGAUAACCAAUCCAUACCCAAGAUAACAUCGAAUGCCCCCAAGGAAAUCACCACCAGAUUGGCCGAAAAAACCUCAUCAGCAAGAAUGACGGAACACCCCCGACAAACUGAACAGCUACUAAUGGAGCCAUUAGCGGAACUGACCAAAAUUGGGUGACCCAACCUCUGUACCGAAAGACCACCCGCGACACAAAAUCCUCCGAAACAAACGAAUAGCUAGCGCCAGAGUCAAAAAGAGCAUGGGCUGCAAAUGAAUCAACUGAAAUCGUACCUGUCACCACGUCUCCUUGCUCCCUGCCAUCCGUAGCGGGUAGCACAUAAGCUCCAGAAAUACCCGCAGAAGAGGAAGCUCCCGGAGUGAAAUUAACAGAAGAACCCCACUGAGCCACCGGAGGAGGCUGGCGCGGAGCUCCAAACUGAGUCAGCACAGGUGUAGACGGUGCAGGAGUAGGCACAGCCUGAUACUGAGGAAAACCUUGCAUCGGCACGAACUGAGAAGUCCCAGGCACAAAAAGCUGUUGUGGAGGAAGAGGAACUGAAAACUGCUGCUCAGCACUCGACAUCAUAUUGAUAGUGCCCUGAGAAGAGAAGGAAGUUACUGGCUCCCAUCUGAGCUUCCCAUUGGGAUUCCUCCUACACACCACAUCUUUGUGGUCCUGACUGCAGAUAGAACACCUGCCAUUCCACUGGCACUCUGCACGGCGAUGCGCAUCUCCACAGCGGAAACACACCAGCCCCAGCCCGGGCUUAGGAACGGCCCGAAACCUCUGAGUACUUCCUCCCGAAGUACUAGAGUCAGAAGAUUUGCCACGGUAAGGAUGGUGGCGCUGAUGCUGAGACUUGCCCCUCUUAUGAGCUGGACCUCCAGUGUUGCCCCUCCUCGUGUCCUGGCUACGAGGCUGAUCAACACCCGAAGACUUCUGCGACUCCAUGGUGUACUAGUGUUGCAUCUCCACACCCAGCACCUGCUCCACCGUGGUACGGAAGUCCACCAACGGAAAGGCCCCCAGUGCAUGCCUGAUAGAAGGCUUCAGACCCUGACGGAAUUGGCUCGUCUUCUCCAUCUCAUUAUAAGCCACAUGAGGGACAAAGCAGACCAUCUUGUUGAAGCCCACCUCAUACUCUGUGACAGACUUCUUCUCCUGCUUAUAGGACUACAAGUCAAUCUUCAUUUUCUCCAGAAAGGUGACCGGGUAGAAUCUCCUUUCGAACUGCCUGAUGAAAACAUCCCAUGAUAUGACUCCUGGUGAGGAGGAGUGCGCUGCCUGCACGCCUCUCCACCAAAUUUGCACCUCUCCCUUCAGCAGCUGAGUGCCAAAGCGAACCCGAUCUCCAUAUACAAUCUCGAAGACAUUCAUCUUAUCCUCCACCUCCAGCACCCUGAGCAGCACCCACAGGGGCGACAGGAAUGGCUUGCCUCAGAAGGGCCAACUCCUGCUGCAUGGCCUGCAUCGCGGCUAACAUUGCCGCCGGACUCAUCGAGUCCCCACUAGGAGCUUGCGGACUACCCCGAGCUCUACGAGGCGGCAUAGCUGCAGCCACAGGGAUGAGUACAAUAAGUAAAUGAGAUAAGCAUAGCAUCUCUCUAGAUAAUGUCAAAACUAGCACAGACAAUAACAUAAUCAUAUCAAUAGCAAGACAGAAAACCCAUCCUACAUGUGCAGUGUGCCAAUUUAUUACUACUCCACUUGCUAGGACCUAUAGCCUAUUCCUCUGAUACCAACUGUAACACCCCACUGGUCGCACAGAAUGGAUAAUACCAUAAACCUCAUCCACUAAACUUACUCAACACUAGAGAUGUAAUAAAGAAAGAAUAUAAAGAAAGAAAAAAAAAAUCCGGCAGCACCUCCUUUGAAAACUAGCAUAACAAGGAGGGGAAACAUGAAGCUCAUACAAGGUAUAAAGACAUAUAAUUCACAUAGUAGAACUGUAAUGCAAAAGUGGUAAAACCUAAUUAUGGCCCAACUGAAGUAAAACAAAUGGGAUAAGAAACUCAGCCCACCCCAAAAUAAACGCUCAACCAAGAACAAAGCGAUUCACUAGACUUGUCCAACUCUGAUUAUCAACAUUAUUAAAUGGUGGUUCCUUUAUUAAAGGUGUAGUGGCCGUGCUGCUACAUCCCCUUUAUUCCCCAAAGCAGAAAUUAGGUGCCUGCAUCAAACAAUGCAAGAUGUGAGAUAACACAUCUCAGCAAGUAAACAUAACAACAACAAGUAGGCCAUUGUAAAUCAACUGUGCUUACACAACCACGUGUUCAGGACUUCUUUCUUUUCUUUUGAACAGUAAAUUGCAGCAAGUAUACAAGUAACUAAAAACUCAACGCCAAGAUGAAUCACCAUGCACAAGUCCAAAUUAUCCAUAUCCACAUAAUAGAUUCAACACCUCUCCCAUGAAUGCACAUGGCUACAAAUGCAAUAAUGACUUCUGCCUCCAUAUCUCUAAGGAUAUGAAGCUGCACCAUACCCCUUCUCGGGCAACAUAUGAUGCUCAAUGUACCGGUAUGGUCGGACCAUAAGAUCGCGACGAAACUUCAAUGCAAUGGAUGAUGAGUGCAUUAUGCAUGACAACAUCAUAAGUUCUUCCCAAAUAAAAAUGUGCUAGGCAUUUACUUCCAACCAUUCCACAUAAUAACCACUUGAGUAACAUAAUCAAACCUCAAACUCAACAUAUGAAAUCCAUGAAACAUGAACAUUUUCAAAUGAUGGUACUCAAAAGAAAAAUAUGAAUUUGAACAUGAUAGCACAAUAUAAACAAGUAUAAGACUCCUCAUCUGACAGACGGAAUAACCAUCACAGUUUUACUUGCCUUCACCGAAGUUUGGGCAAAAUCACUAAGAACGAUCCGGAAGUCCACCACCUGUUUUUGACACCCAACUUAGUGCACCAAAUUCACAUAAAAAACUCAAAGACAACACCGCACCUACGCGCAGUCUCAACCCCGUCGCGGUAACAAUUCUCCCCUCACUAACCAAACUGCAGCGGCGCUGCUUAACAAUUCCAUAACUUAAAAAUUAGGACAGCAGUGGUGUCAAACAAAAACUUCAGAGACAACUACAUAAAAUUUCCCACAAGUUUUGUAUACAACUCAUGAUUAAAUUCUAAAAUCUAAUUACCUCUAAACGGUCCACAAAAUAAACCCUGCAAUCUGUUCUUUUCUGAUUUGGGCAGCGACAUACUCGGAUUCAAACAGCGAUAACUUUUAAAAUAUAAUUCCGAUUUGAGCGCAUAAGUACUUAUUGGAAAGAUAAGAAAAAGCCCUACAUGAUUCUCAUACUGAUUAACACUAAUUACUCCCAAAAAAUCCCCAGAAACGGCUAAUACUUUUGCUGUUCAUCACUCUGAAAAUUCUGUUUUUUUGGACAGCCACACACCCGGAUUCAAACGAUGAUAACUUUUAAUUUAUAACUCCAAAUUGAGCGCAUAAAUACUCGUUGGAAAGGUAAAACAAAGUUCUACAAGAUCCCCAAAUUGAUCCCCAUUAAUUCUUCACGAAAAACCUUAAAAACUGCUAGAACUUCCGCUGUUCAUCCACCACGUAAAAUUCUGGACAGCCCCCCCUCUAUCUAAUCACAAACGCAACAUCUAAACAAUUGAAUCGCAGCGCAAAUGAACAAGGGAUGAACACAAAAAUCACCUUGGGUUCUCCCCCUUUCUUUCCUCCCUUCUUCCCUCCACCAAAACGGUUGGAGAAUCGCACCACGAGACGACGAUCCGAGCGGCAAGGAUUGGCACCUUGGGAGAAGGGGAUUGAGGGGGGGGGUGGCUAGGGUUUGGUGGCUGCAAAAAAUGAGAGAGAAGGAGAUGGGCAGGGGGGUGGCGGCCAAGGGGAGGAGGAGA
Molecule: long non-coding RNA, 9392 nt
Filed under: Zea mays
Lineage: Eukaryota; Viridiplantae; Streptophyta; Magnoliopsida; Poales; Poaceae
Description: long non-coding RNA (ZMAY_LNC000883)
Source: RNAcentral